CAUUGAAUGGCUGAAUAAAAGUGAUGUGGCUGAAUAAAAGUGAUGGUCUCUUAAACCA
RNAcentral lists this transfer RNA (58 nucleotides) under Rhipicephalus turanicus. RNAcentral's name for it is "tRNA-Lys". Lineage: Eukaryota; Metazoa; Arthropoda; Arachnida; Ixodida; Ixodidae. The record is from RNAcentral.